RNAcentral lists this ribosomal RNA (497 nucleotides) under uncultured bacterium. RNAcentral describes it as "partial 16S ribosomal RNA". It matches the Rfam family "Bacterial small subunit ribosomal RNA", at positions 28 to 507 of the family's 1533-position model. The record is from RNAcentral.
GAUGAACGCUGGCGGCGUGCCUAAUACAUGCAAGUCGAGCGAACAGACGAGGAGCUUGCUCCUCUGACGUUAGCGGCGGACGGGUGAGUAACACGUGGAUAACCUACCUAUAAGACUGGGAUAACUUCGGGAAACCGGAGCUAAUACCGGAUAAUAUAUUGAACCGCAUGGUUCAAUAGUGAAAGACGGUUUUGCUAUCACUUAUAGAUGGAUCCGCGCCGCAUUAGCUAGUUGGUAAGGUAACGGCUUACCAAGGCAACGAUGCGUAGCCGACCUGAGAGUGUGCUCGCCCCCACUGAACCUGAACCCCCGCCCCCCCCCCUCCGGAGGACACCAUGGGGAACUCUUCAGCAAUGGGCGAAUGCCUACCGCACCCCCGCCGGGUGUGUAAUAAGGCUCUUCGUUUCGAAAACCUCUUUUUUUGGGAAAAAAAAACUUUUUAAUAACCUCUCCCCUUCUUCCCGGUCCUUAAUCAAAAGGCCCCGCCUACCUCCGUC